GUGAGGAAUUUUCCGCAAUGGGCGAAAGCCUGACGGAGCAAUGCCGCGUGAAGGAUGAAGGCCUAUGGGUUGUAAACUUCUUUUCUCAGAAAAGAAUUAUGACGGUAUCUGAGGAAUAAGCAUCGGCUAACUCUGUGCCAGCAGCCGCGGUAAGACAGAGGAUGCAAGCGUUAUCCGGAAUGAUUGGGCGUAAAGCGUCUGUAGGUUGUUUAAAAAGUAUUCUGUCAAAGAUUAGGGCUUAACCCUAGAUAGGCAGAAUAAACUUUUAAGCUAGAGUGUGGUAGAGGCAGAGGGAAUUCCCGGUGGAGCUGUGAAAUGCGUAGAUAUCGGGAGGAACACCAAAGGCGAAGGCACUCUGCUGGGCCAAUACUAACACUGAGAGACGAAAGCGAGGGGAGCAAAUGGGAUUAGAUACCCGGGUAGUCC
This 426-nucleotide ribosomal RNA is filed under the name uncultured bacterium. Its description in RNAcentral is "partial 16S ribosomal RNA". It matches the Rfam family "Bacterial small subunit ribosomal RNA", at positions 354 to 796 of the family's 1533-position model. The record is from RNAcentral.